GGGAUUUCACUGGGUUGUUGUUGUUAUUGUAGUGAUAGCAGAUGCACAAGCCACCGUGAAAGAUCACCUUUUCAACUUAAAAACUUUUUCCAGAUGGAAAAUAAGGAAUAUGUGAUAGAUUGAUCUUUCAAGGGCGCUUGUACAUCUUAGGGCUUUGUGGUAUUUAGCUAUCCUGUGUCAAGUAUUAAAAUUUUGAUAAUUUUCUAUGUUCAUCUGUUUCCCUAUUGAGAUAUAUAAUUUAAUAAUUAGUUUGUUACUGUUAUAGUUGGUUAUGUCGGUUAGUUAGUAGUUAGUGUAGUAGUUUUUUUGUGUCAUCUCGCAGCGUGUGUAUAUAUACUGUGUAUUGAUAUCAAUGAACGCCUAAGCUUCAUUUCAUCAAUUUCAUUCUUUGUUCUUCCCUUCUAUCACGGUGAGUUCUAGAAGCUUCACCACUUCACCAUUGCAGGUAUGGUCGAGCUCAUUCACACUGAUUCUCAAUGUCAAUCUUGAAAUUGGUUUUGUUUUACGUGUGUCAUACAUUGUUUUGGUGGACUAAGUGUGCGAUUAAAUUUUCAUUACGAGAAUGUUAUUGCAUAAAAGAAUUAGCAAAUAGGCAUGGCUACAUGGAUGCCACAUCCCUGCCCCUGGGGAUAAAAUUAUUUGAUGAAUGUGGAACACUUAAGUCCAUUUCAAGUCCAAAUUCCAUACACCAUAAAUCUUCAAACAUUUGAUUAUCUUUGUCCCCCGUGCAGCAGUGGGGAAUCUUGGACAAUGGGCAACUCCCAUUCCACAAACUAAACGACCAUGCAGAUUGCUGUUGUUGUUUGGUAUAUUGAAUCAUCCAAUUUUUAUAGAUCUAUUCCGCUAUCUUAAUCUAUUUUCAUAUUGAGCCACUUUUUGUGCAAUGUCUUUUCUGCAUACUGCUAUUAUUUGAAUAUUGAGGAAAGCAUGUCUAAUUCGUUGUUAAGCUCCUCGUAAUUUAUUUCUCUGCAAUGAAGAACCUACCACUCUAAUCUGCAGCUAGUCUAAGUCAGACGUGUUGGGGAGUAUAUGUUGUGAGCUACUGCACAAGGGGGAGCAUUCUAUGGCAAAGAUGAAAAAGGAGGUUCUUUAAUCAAGCUCCUAGGAUUGUUCGAACAAGAUGUGGUUAUUUUGUAUUGUUAAUUGUUAUUAUAGCACCUACAGCAUGUAAAGGAUGUUAAAACAAGGUGUUGGAGGUUGUCCAUAUGUUCAGUUGAACCUGGAUAUAUGACUACUGAGAGGGUGUUGCUUCUAUGCUCAAUGGACUAUGAGUGAAGACAAAUGUGGAUCUCAGAGAGGCGAGAGCUUACAUUGGCUGCAGACUUUAUCACUAUGGACCAACCCUCACUGUACCAUCAUCGUCUUCUGCAUUAAAACAUACUGACUCUGGCAUGCAUGUCCAGGUGAGCACUGCAUGAACCCUCUGUGUCGCAUGCAAAGUAGAGGGAGGACUUAGAAGAAAGAUUAUAUGUAUGGAUUGCUUUGUGGAAGAUAGAAUUAUAAUUGUGCAUGGGUUGGUAAUUUUUAAGACGAUAACAGUAUGAAAAGGUGAAGGAACUACUAUACUUUAUGGAGCAAACUCAUUUUAGAGCCUGUUUGGAAUUGAAUUUGGAUGUAGUUGUGUGUAAUUACAUAGUUUGACAUGUUUGUCUGGCCAAGUAAUUACUUGGUCAACAUAGAAUUGAGUGUAAUUACACUCUCUAAUUCUCAAGGGGAGGUGAGAAUUAGUGGUAAUAUGUGUAAUUACAAGGUUAUUUUUUAA
Molecule: long non-coding RNA, 1762 nt
Organism: Nicotiana attenuata
Lineage: Eukaryota; Viridiplantae; Streptophyta; Magnoliopsida; Solanales; Solanaceae
Exons: 3
Source: RefSeq, a predicted model, not a curated record